RNAcentral lists this transfer RNA (83 nucleotides) under Angiostrongylus costaricensis. It matches the Rfam family "tRNA". From Rfam's summary of the family: Transfer RNA (tRNA) molecules are approximately 80 nucleotides in length. The record is from Rfam by way of RNAcentral. Lineage: Eukaryota; Metazoa; Nematoda; Chromadorea; Rhabditida; Metastrongylidae.
CCGUCGAUAGCUCAGCUGGUAGAGCGGAGGACUGUAGAGUUGCAGCAAUGCUUAUGUCGCUGGUUCGAAACCGGUUCGACGGA